AGAGUUUGAUCAUGGCUCAGGCCGAACGCUGGCGGCGUGCUUAACACAUGCAAGUCGAACGGUGACCUCGAGAGCUUGCUCUUGGGUGAGCAGUGGCGAACGGGUGAGUAACACGUGAGUAACCUGCCCCUGACUCUGGAAUAAGCGCUGGAAACGGCGUCUAAUACCGGAUAUGAGAUGCCACCGCAUGGUGAGUGUCUGGAAAGUUUUUCGGUCUGGGAUGGACUCGCGGCCUAUCAGCUUGUUGGUGAGGUAAUGGCUCACCAAGGCGAUGACGGGUAGCCGGCCUGAGAGGGCGACCGGCCACACUGGGACUGAGACACGGCCCAGACUCCUACGGGAGGCAGCAGUGGGGAAUAUUGCACAAUGGGCGAAAGCCUGAUGCAGCGACGCCGCGUGAGGGAUGACGGCCUUCGGGUUGUAAACCUCUUUCAGCAGGGAAGAAGCGAAAGUGACGGUACCUGCAGAAGAAGCACCGGCUAACUACGUGCCAGCAGCCGCGGUAAUACGUAGGGUGCGAGCGUUGUCCGGAAUUAUUGGGCGUAAAGAGCUUGUAGGCGGUUUGUCGCGUCUGCUGUGAAAAUCCGGGGCUUAACCCCGGACUUGCAGUGGGUACGGGCAGACUAGAGUGUGGUAGGGGAGACUGGAAUUCCUGGUGUAGCGGUGAAAUGCGCAGAUAUCAGGAGGAACACCGAUGGCGAAGGCAGGUCUCUGGGCCACUACUGACGCUGAGAAGCGAAAGCAUGGGGAGCGAACAGGAUUAGAUACCCUGGUAGUCCAUGCCGUAAACGUUGGGAACUAGGUGUGGGUCUCAUUCCACGAGAUCCGUGCCGCAGCUAACGCAUUAAGUUCCCCGC
This 857-nucleotide ribosomal RNA is filed under the name uncultured Knoellia sp. RNAcentral's name for it is "bacterial SSU rRNA". It matches the Rfam family "Bacterial small subunit ribosomal RNA", at positions 8 to 872 of the family's 1533-position model. Lineage: Bacteria; Bacillati; Actinomycetota; Actinomycetes; Micrococcales; Intrasporangiaceae. The record is from RNAcentral.